CAAAAUAAAGCUUAUAAGUUAAGCAUUUCGUUUACAUUGAAAAGAUUUUUGUGCAAAUCAGAUUAUUUUGA
RNAcentral lists this transfer RNA (71 nucleotides) under Sinochlora sinensis. RNAcentral describes it as "tRNA-Val". It matches the Rfam family "tRNA". Rfam says of the family: Transfer RNA (tRNA) molecules are approximately 80 nucleotides in length. Their secondary structure includes four short double-helical elements and three loops (D, anti-codon, and T loops). Further hydrogen bonds mediate the characteristic L-shaped molecular structure. tRNAs have two regions of fundamental functional importance: the anti-codon, which is responsible for specific mRNA codon recognition, and the 3' end, to which the tRNAs corresponding amino acid is attached (by aminoacyl-tRNA synthetases). tRNAs cope with the degeneracy of the genetic code in two manners: having more than one tRNA (with a specific anti-codon) for a particular amino acid; and 'wobble' base-pairing, i.e. permitting non-standard base-pairing at the 3rd anti-codon position. The record is from RNAcentral. Lineage: Eukaryota; Metazoa; Arthropoda; Insecta; Orthoptera; Tettigoniidae. RNAcentral also lists the same sequence under 2 other names.